Molecule: ribosomal RNA, 489 nt
Filed under: uncultured bacterium
Lineage: Bacteria
Description: bacterial SSU rRNA
Rfam family: Bacterial small subunit ribosomal RNA
Source: RNAcentral
AGAGUUUGAUCCUGGCUUAGGACGAACGCUGGCGGCAUGCCUAACACAUGCAAGUCGAACGGGGGUAGCAAUACCCUAGUGGCGAACGGGUGAGUAACACAUAAGCAAUCUGCCCUUCACAGGGGGAUAACAGCGGGAAACUGCUGCUAAUACCGCAUAAGACCACGGUACCGCAUGGUACAGGGGUAAAAACGAAUCAGUGGUGAAGGAUGAGCUUAUGUCCCAUUAGCUAGUUGGUGAGAUAACAGCCCACCAAGGCGACGAUGGGUAGCCGACCUGAGAGGGUGAUCGGCCACACUGGAACUGAGACACGGUCCAGACUCCUACGGGAGGCAGCAGUGGGGAAUAUUGGGCAAUGGAAGGAAACUCUUACCCAGCAAUGCCGCGUGAGUGAAGAAGGUCUUCGGAUUGUAAAGCUCUUUGAUUGGGGACGAAGAAAGUGACGGUACCCAAAGAACAAGCCCCGGCUAACUACGUGCCAGCCGCCGC